GGGCAGAUGUCCGAGUGGUCUAAGGAGCUCGACUCAAGUUUGUCAUAACUUACAAGCCUAGCUUGUAGCAUUCGAGUAGCGCAAGCUGCGAGGGUUCGAAUCCCUCUCUGCUCA
Bisporella sp. PMI_857 is the source of this 114-nucleotide non-coding RNA. The record is from the annotation of a GenBank genome assembly. NCBI's taxonomy places the organism in Eukaryota, Fungi, Ascomycota, Leotiomycetes, Helotiales, Helotiaceae.